GUUACAAGCCGGGUUAUCGCCUUUCGCUUUGCGAAGGGAGGAAAGUCUGGACAGCACAGAGCAAUACACCGGUGAAUAGCCGGGUGUUUCGCCACGGCGGAACAACAGAUAGUGCCACAGAAAAUAACUGUGGCGCCCAGGCGCCACGAGGGUGAAAACGUGAGGUAAGAGCUCACGGUAUUUGACAGCAAUGCCAAAUACGGGUAAACCUUGUAUGCUGAAAUACCAUGUAAAUCCUGCUUUUUAAAACGGAUCCGUUUUAAAAUGUGAGCUGCUCGUUUACAAUUCCGCUACGGCGGGAUGGCAGGAAGGGUAGGUAGAUGGAUUCAUUGAGGCAACUCUCUGAACAGAUAAAUGAUAACCAUCCCGCCCCGGGCGGGAUACAGAAUCCGGCUUACAGGCUUGUAACAUUU
Molecule: RNase P RNA, 413 nt
Filed under: Niabella sp.
Lineage: Bacteria; Pseudomonadati; Bacteroidota; Chitinophagia; Chitinophagales; Chitinophagaceae
Description: RNase P RNA component class A
Rfam family: Bacterial RNase P class A
About the family: Ribonuclease P (RNase P) is a ubiquitous endoribonuclease, found in archaea, bacteria and eukarya as well as chloroplasts and mitochondria. Its best characterised activity is the generation of mature 5'-ends of tRNAs by cleaving the 5'-leader elements of precursor-tRNAs. Cellular RNase Ps are ribonucleoproteins.
Source: RNAcentral